AUGGCAUUCUAUUCAGAUCAUCAUACUUUUGCGAGCAACACUACAAACAACAUGGAAAGUCUUCAAGAUCGGAUAAGUAAGAUUUCUCGUCAAUUAGAUGAAUUAGCUCAGCAGCGAGGUAUAGUUAUUGAGGAUAGGCCUAUCUCUUAUGAUCCUUAUUCUAGAGGCCAUUCUUGUGUUGCUCCUACCUGCCAUAUUUGUGGAUAUCAGGGCCGUUCACCCGCCGAAUGUCAGCGUGGUUAUUCUCACCCUCCAGAUUGUUUUGGUAUGAGCUUUGCUCAGCAUCAUGUCUCAUACCAAAACAAUUACUCACAUGGGUGGCCUGAAAACCACAAUAUGUCAUAUAGGAGCAACAACCGUGAGGUCUCACCAUUUGCUUCUAGUAAUCAUAUGCAUGGAUUUAGGUACAAUGAGGAGAGCACAAUUAUGCACCACAACAAUUUCAUUCAGCUCCUAUUCAUGUACCUCAACACUGAGAGAUGUGUCCAGUGGAGUUAA
This 498-nucleotide ribosomal RNA is filed under the name Triticum aestivum (bread wheat). RNAcentral's name for it is "partial small subunit ribosomal RNA". The record is from RNAcentral. Lineage: Eukaryota; Viridiplantae; Streptophyta; Magnoliopsida; Poales; Poaceae.